RNAcentral lists this ribosomal RNA (549 nucleotides) under uncultured Glomeromycotina. RNAcentral describes it as "SSU rRNA". It matches the Rfam family "Eukaryotic small subunit ribosomal RNA", at positions 548 to 1098 of the family's 1831-position model. The record is from RNAcentral. Lineage: Eukaryota; Fungi; Glomeromycota.
UUGGAGGGCAAGUCUGGUGCCAGCAGCCGCGGUAAUUCCAGCUCCAAUAGCGUAUAUUAAAGUUGUUGCAGUUAAAAAGCUCGUAGUUGAAUUUCGGGGUCAGUAGGUCGGUCGUGCCACUGGUAUGAACUGGUUUUACUGAUUCCUCCUCCUUGAAGAACUGUAAUGCCAUUAAUUUGGUGUUGCAGGGAAUCAGGACUGUUACUUUGAAAAGGUUAGAGUGUUUAAAGCAGGCUUUAGCUUGAAUACAUUAGCAUGGAAUAAUGAAAUAGGACGUUUGAUCCUAUUUUGUUGGUUUCUAGGAUUGACGUAAUGAUUAAUAGGGAUAGUUGGGGGCAUUAGUACUCAAUUGUCAGAGGUGAAAUUCUUGGAUUUAUUGAAGACUAACUACUGCGAAAGCAUUUGCCAAGGAUGUUUUCAUUAAUCAAGAACGAAAGUUAGGGGAUCGAAGACGAUCAGAUACCGUCGUAGUCUUAACCAUAAACUAUGCCGACUAGGGAUCGGAUGAUGUUAAUUUUUUAAUGACUCAUUCGGCGCCUUACGGGAAAC